Molecule: long non-coding RNA, 297 nt
Filed under: Elaeis guineensis (African oil palm)
Lineage: Eukaryota; Viridiplantae; Streptophyta; Magnoliopsida; Arecales; Arecaceae
Description: long non-coding RNA (EGUI_LNC063528)
Source: RNAcentral
UCUCCAUUAUAUCCUUGCAUUCUUGCUUUAAGCAAUUAAUCUCAAACUAAAGUCUCUCUCCUCAUUCAUCAAGCUUUUGAUAUAUAUUUUUCAUAAGUAAUUAGUUAAGCCUAAAUUCUUUAAAACCCAAUUCACCCCCCCUCUUGGGUUGCAUAGCUGGGCAACAUCUAGAGGUCUUCCAUCAUUGUAGAGAUGCGGGUGCCUUCCUAGCAUUGAUCAUUCUCGAUUGAUAAUAGUAGUUUGGUUACAUCGAAAAGGUACAAUCACUCUAUUGACAUUUGAUGUCUCAGGAUAGAG